Molecule: long non-coding RNA, 2516 nt
Filed under: Salmo salar (Atlantic salmon)
Lineage: Eukaryota; Metazoa; Chordata; Actinopteri; Salmoniformes; Salmonidae
Source: RNAcentral
CUGAACUAGACAUGAUGAUGACAGUUUUUGAAGUUGCUCGCCAAAAAAAUAAAGGGAUUUGUAGUCCUUGAAGUACAGAUCAUUCUGUCUGACCUGCGGGAUCCUCUGUAGCUCAGAACUACAGACGAAUAAUUGGCUGAUGAGGCGGCGUACACGCCAGACCAGUAAAAAGCCCUAUAAAUAGUCUGCUCUUCCCUUAUUCGCUCUUUCGCUGAGUCAAGACAUUUAGAGAAGGGUGCCGGCAGUAUUAUGGCUAUCAUUAUAAAACGAGGUUAUAUUUGGUAUCCGGACAGAAAAGAUUAUACAUCCGUCAUAAAAUGAUAAACUACAAUUGGUGAGUAAUGAUUUGCAGACUUAUUGAGUUAGCAUAGUUUGUAAUUUAUUUUCUCUGCACGUAGUUUGCUUCAAGAUGGCUAACGUUAGCUAUUUUGGUUUACGACUCUUCCAAUUAAUAAUUUAGUGGAAUAAUACUUAUGUUAACUAGCUAAUGUUUAAAGUAAAUUACAUGCCAACCGGUGUAAACUAAACUUCGAAGCUAACUAAAGGUUUAACGCUAAUUAACAUUAACCUAGCUUGUGCCACGUGGGUCCAUAGUGCGCUGAUGUUAACUUUUUUUUUGUACACUGCACAACGUUUUAAUUAUAAUAUUGGGUCUUUCUGUGAAGAUAUCUUUGUCCAGUUCUGCUACUGAAUGAUAGUGAUCGAUAUUAGUGACUCUGAGAAAGACCUGGGUUUUUACAAAGCAUAUUAUUUCAAACUUGUUAGUUAGCUAGUCGCCCGGCCUUAAUAGAACCGCGCCAAAGCCUUAAUUACCGGUGAUAAACAAUUUAUCAUGUAGUUUAAUUAAACGACCAUUUGUCUCGUCGGUAACAGGGGUUCUGAUUGCACCAGCAGGCUAAACUGGCUGAUCUGUUCUGGUCUACAGAGGCGGGCAUUAGGAAGUCCAUGAUAGAGGCUGCCAUCACGUCGUCAGGUUCCAUAGACGGGAUGGGCAGCCCCUCCCGUGGUUUCUCUGGAGCGUUGUCUUUCAGAAUCAGAAGGGUGCUGACCUACUUCCAACAUGUUGAAGGGGUGGUUACUGCCCACAGCUGGUGUUAUCCAAUAUAUGCGCUCUGUAUCAAACUAAGCAUUGUAUGUGGGCCAAAUCAUUAGCUAAAUCUUGUAAUGAAUGUAGAGAUUGGCCAAGUUCAAGAUACUAGACUAUUUUGUGUAACCCUGGAUUGUACACUGAAAUGGUACAUUUAAAGAUUCAACGGUAGCUGGGGGGGGGUGAGGUCUGAUAACGCUGCUCUGGUUGCUUGAUAAUCAAUUCGUACAGGCCCUAGUUUUAGCAGACCUGGGCUGCAGUCCAAACUACCCCUUCAGUCCUUAUUAAGCAUUGCAUAUGGGACAAUUCAAUUAACUUAACAUGUUAUCAAUUUAGCAAGUUGUGAAAACAUAUUGCUGUAACGGUAGCUAAAAUGGGGAUGUCUGUGAUAAAGCACUGCUUGUCGAGCCACAAAACAAAUACUGUUUUCACACUACUGCCCAGUUAUAUGUUAAAGUGCCACAAAGGACAGGCAAAUUAGUUGGCCCAGAACAGGGAAGUACUGCUGGCCCUUAAAGGAAUACUUCAGUUUUUAUUUUUAUGCGGCCUUUUAUUUACUUCCCCAGAGUCCAAUGUCCUCAUGGAUAUCCAUUUGGUCUGCAUCCAGUUUCAAAGGAAGUAGCCAGCUAUUGCUAAAUAGCAUUAGCAAAAUUAAGAUGUUUUGUGGUAUCUGCUAAUGCUGACUUACAAUUGCACCAGUUGGCUACUUCCUUCAAACUAGAUGCAGAGACAUAAAUGGUAUUGAGGUCAUCUGACUCGGGAAGUAGACAAAAGAGCCUCGUUGUCAAAAGCCUAAAGUAUCCCUUAAAAUGUACUCGUCACCCCUCCCUCUGCUUGCCCUACCUAUAAACUACUGAGUGACGCAGCGGUCUAAGGCGCUGCAUCUCAGUACUGGAGACCUCACUAGACACCCUGGUUUGAUUCUGGGCUGUAUCACAACUGGCCGUGAUUGGAAAUCCCUUAGGGCAUUGCGCAAUUGGCCCAGCGUCGUCCGGGUUUGGCCUGUGUAGGCCGUCAAUGUAAAUAAGAAUUGGUUCUUAACGGACUUGCCUACUACAUUAACAAAAUAUGUAUUUCAAUGUACCCUACAGCUGGUGUCAGCAACAGUAUGGUUGAUCUCCAGUGUGAGGACUGGUGUUUUAGUUUGAAUAUUUUUGUCAAUAAAGUUUUAUACCGUGUUCUGGUAUUUUGUGUGAAUUAAAUUGAUACUGGGUUGGUUUAUAGUUCUAAUGCAACUCUGCCUGUAUGACCCAUCACUGCUAUCCAUGCAGUAUCUGUAAUAGUGGCCAUUGGCAGUACUGAUUUAUCAGUAGGGAUAAGUGAAGUACACUGCUCAAAAAAAUAAAGGGAACACUUAAACAACACAAUGUAACUCCAAGUCAAUCACACAUCUGUGAAAUCAAACUGUCCACUUAGAAAGCAACACUGA